Molecule: transfer RNA, 84 nt
Filed under: Acidithiobacillus thiooxidans
Lineage: Bacteria; Pseudomonadati; Pseudomonadota; Acidithiobacillia; Acidithiobacillales; Acidithiobacillaceae
Description: tRNA-Leu
Rfam family: tRNA
About the family: Transfer RNA (tRNA) molecules are approximately 80 nucleotides in length.
Source: RNAcentral
GCCCAAGUGGUGGAAUGGCAGACACACCUGUCUCAAAAGCAGGCGCUGAAAAGCAUGCCGGUUCGAAUCCGGCCUCGGGUACCA